GGGGGCAUGGGACUUGCUCCUGAUGUUAGCGGCGGACGGGUGAGUACACGUGGGUAACCUGCCUGUAAGACUGGGAUAACUCCGGGAAACCGGGGCUAAUACCGGAUGGUUGUCUGAACCGCAUGGUUCAGACAUAAAAGGUGGCUUCGGCUACCACUUACAGAUGGACCCGCGGCGCAUUAGCUAGUUGGUGAGGUAACGGCUCACCAAGGCGACGAUGCGUAGCCGACCUGAGAGGGUGAUCGGCCACACUGGGACUGAGACACGGCCCAGACUCCUACGGGAGGCAGCAGUAGGGAAUCUUCCGCAAUGGACGAAAGUCUGACGGAGCAACGCCGCGUGAGUGAUGAAGGUUUUCGGAUCGUAAAGCUCUGUUGUUAGGGAAGAACAAGUGCCGUUCAAAUAGGGCGGCACCUUGACGGUACCUAACCAGAAAGCCACGGCUAACUACGUGCCAGCAGCCGCGGUAAUACGUAGGUGGCAAGCGUUGUCCGGAAUUAUUGGGCGUAAAGGGCUCGCAGGCGGUUUCUUAAGUCUGAUGUGAAAGCCCCCGGCUCAACCGGGGAGGGUCAUUGGAAACUGGGGAACUUGAGUGCAGAAGAGGAGAGUGGAAUUCCACGUGUAGCGGUGAAAUGCGUAGAGAUGUGGAGGAACACCAGUGGCGAAGGCGACUCUCUGGUCUGUAACUGACGCUGAGGAGCGAAAGCGUGGGGAGCGAACAGGAUUAGAUACCCUGGUAGUCCACGCCGUAAACGAUGAGUGCUAAGUGUUAGGGGGUUUCCGCCCCUUAGUGCUGCAGCUAACGCAUUAAGCACUCCGCCUGGGGAGUACGGUCGCAAGACUGAAACUCAAAGGAAUUGACGGGGGCCCGCACAAGCGGUGGAGCAUGUGGUUUAAUUCGAAGCAACGCGAAGAACCUUACCAGGUCUUGACAUCCUCUGACAAUCCUAGAGAUAGGACGUCCCCUUCGGGGGCAGAGUGACAGGUGGUGCAUGGUUGUCGUCAGCUCGUGUCGUGAGAUGUUGGGUUAAGUCCCGCAACGAGCGCAACCCUUGAUCUUAGUUGCCAGCAUUCAGUUGGGCACUCUAAGGUGACUGCCGGUGACAAACCGGAGGAAGGUGGGGAUGACGUCAAAUCAUCAUGCCCCUUAUGACCUGGGCUACACACGUGCUACAAUGGACAGAACAAAGGGCAGCGAAACCGCGAGGUUAAGCCAAUCCCACAAAUCUGUUCUCAGUUCGGAUCGCAGUCUGCAACUCGACUGCGUGAAGCUGGAAUCGCUAGUAAUCGCGGAUCAGCAUGCCGCGUUCCCCC
Molecule: ribosomal RNA, 1314 nt
Filed under: Bacillus velezensis
Lineage: Bacteria; Bacillati; Bacillota; Bacilli; Caryophanales; Bacillaceae
Description: bacterial SSU rRNA
Rfam family: Bacterial small subunit ribosomal RNA
Source: RNAcentral